CUAUUCUGUUUCUGUAUUCUGAGUCUGGUCGAUCCAGCCUCAAAUUCAAACAAGUGAUCAUCAAUCACAAUCCUUUAUCUCCCAUAAUUGCUGUUCUUUCUUGAGCUAGUAAGCUUCAUCCAGCCAAGUCAUAUUCUAAGCCAUCCAAACAAUAAUGGAUGCUUCCAAACAUCGUAGGAAGCAUCCACAAAGACUGCCUGCAUCCAUCCAUUUUCUCCUAAUAGAUCACAAUUAAGUUAAUAGAACACAAAAAUGGAAUGUUGAGGUUUGUGCAUCAAAACCCAAUAUCUGCUGUCCACUACUCUCAAAGGUAAGUGUGCAGAUGUCUACAUUAGUUUCAAAAUGGUUUAGUUGUGUAAACACUAUUUAUCAAGCAGUGAAUAUUCCAUUAAUGUAUUUUCAGAUUUCUGCAAUAUGCUACACUUCAAACUUCCUUAUCCAUAAUGAUUCUCCACUCCAUUAACUGUUUUUAUGAAGCAACACAAAACCAAUUAAAAAGGUAAAUUCCAUUGCAUGAUGUCUGCAAAUCUCGAAUUGACAUUUCUUCAAGCACUGCUUCACCUAAUAGCAAUACAUUUUCAGGUUUGUGCAUCAAAACUCAAUAUCUACUGUCCACUACUCCCAAAAGAUUUCUGCAAUACGCUACACUUCAAACUUCCUUCUCCAUUAUAUGAUUCUCCACUCCAUGAACUAUUUUUAUGAAGCACACAACCAAUAAAAAUAAAAGUGAAUACAAAACCAUUGUUCAAGUAUCUUCAGAAAAUGUCCCGGUGACACUCUAAACUGAUGCAGGCAGUCAAUAGGCAAAGAUAUCACACAUGCAUAACCACAAAAGUAACACAAUU
This is a long non-coding RNA of Cyprinus carpio (common carp), 845 nucleotides long. The record is from Ensembl. NCBI's taxonomy places the organism in Eukaryota, Metazoa, Chordata, Actinopteri, Cypriniformes, Cyprinidae.